This 253-nucleotide ribosomal RNA is filed under the name uncultured bacterium. Its description in RNAcentral is "partial 16S ribosomal RNA". It matches the Rfam family "Bacterial small subunit ribosomal RNA", at positions 524 to 776 of the family's 1533-position model. The record is from RNAcentral.
UACGUAGGGGGCAAGCGUUGUCCGGAAUCAUUGGGCGUAAAGAGCGCGUAGGCGGUCCGGUAAGUCGGUUGUGAAAACUGGGGGCUCAACCCUCAGAGGCCGAUCGAUACUGUCGGGCUAGAGUCCGGAAGAGGCGAGUGGAAUUCCUGGUGUAGCGGUGAAAUGCGCAGAUAUCAGGAGGAACACCAAUUGCGAAGGCAGCUCGCUGGGACGUAACUGACGCUGAGACGCGAAAGCGUGGGGAGCAAACAGG